UAGUGGCAGACGGGUGAGUAAUGCAUAGGAAUCUACCUAGUAGUAUGGGAUAGCCACUAGAAAUGGUGGGUAAUACUGUAUAAUCCCUGCGGGGGAAAGAUUUAUCGCUAUUAGAUGAGCCUAUGUUAGAUUAGCUAGUUGGUGGGGUAAUGGCCUACCAAGGCUGUGAUCUAUAGCUGGUCUGAGAGGAUGAUCAGCCACACUGGAACUGAGACACGGUCCAGACUCCUACGGGAGGCAGCAGUGGGGAAUAUUGGACAAUGGGCGCAAGCCUGAUCCAGCUAUGCCGCGUGAGUGAGGAAGGCCUUAGGGUUGUAAAACUCUUUCAGCAGGGAAGAUAAUGACGGUACCUGCAGAAGAAGUCCCGGCAAACUCCGUGCCAGCAGCCGCGGUAAUACGGAGGGGGCAAGCGUUGUUCGGAAUUAUUGGGCGUAAAGGGCAUGUAGGCGGUUUGGUAAGUUAAAGGU
RNAcentral lists this ribosomal RNA (467 nucleotides) under uncultured Anaplasma sp. RNAcentral's name for it is "bacterial SSU rRNA". It matches the Rfam family "Bacterial small subunit ribosomal RNA", at positions 93 to 595 of the family's 1533-position model. The record is from RNAcentral. Lineage: Bacteria; Pseudomonadati; Pseudomonadota; Alphaproteobacteria; Rickettsiales; Anaplasmataceae.